CAUAGACAGCCAGGAGGUUGGCUCAGAAGCAGCCACCCUUGAAAGAGUGCGUAACAGCUCACUGGUCUAGUGGUUCCGCGCCGACAAUGUAGCGGGGCUCAAGCACACCACCGAAGACGCGGCAGUAUUUUGUACUGGGUAGGAGAGCGUCCCAUGAGGGGCGAAGCGGCCGUGUGAACGCGCCGUGGACUUCAUGGGAGUGAGAAUGCAGACAUGAGUAGCGAGAGACGGGUGAAGAUCCCGUCCGCUGGAUGACCAAGGGUUCCAGGGCCACGUUCAUCGUCCCUGGGUGAGUCGGGUCCUAAGGCGAGGCCGACAGGCGUAGUCGAAUGGAUGAACGGGUCGAUAUUCCCGUACCGGCUUUCAGCCGCCAAAACCGAGGCUUGGAGUACUAACCUCCGGGUCCGGGCUUACUGCUCCUUCGGGGGCGGGAUGCCCUGGCCUGUUGGGACCGAUCCUUGUAGUAGGUCAGCGCAGGAGUGACGCAGAAGGGUAGCCGGCCGCGGAGGUGGUCUUCCGUGGUCAAGCACGCAGGGCGUGGGACAGGCAAAUCCGUCCCGCAUGGGUCCGAGGUGCGAUGAUGGGGGCCUUAUGGCCCGAUAUCCGGUGAUCCCGGCUGCCGAGAAAAGCUUCGGCGUCAGGCUCAAAGCCGCCCGUACCCCAAACCGACACUGGUGGUCAGGUAGAGAAUACCAAAGCGAUCGAGCGAAUCCUGGUCAAGGAACUCGGCAAAUCACUCCCGUUCCUUCGGUUUAAGGGAGACCCCCGAUGGUGAACACACUUGCUGUGGGAGCUUUUGGGGGUGGCACAGACCAGGGGGUAGCGACUGUUUACCAAAAACACAGGUGCAUGCGAAGGCGCAAGCCGCUGUAUAUGCACUGACGCCUGCCCGGUGCCGGAAGGUUAAGAGGAUCCGUCAGCCUUCGGGUGAAGCGGUGAAUUCAAGCCCCGGUAAACGGCGGUGGUAACUAUAACCAUCCUAAGGUAGCGAAAUUCCUUGUCGGGUAAGUUCCGACCUGCACGAAUGGCGUAACGACUUCCCCACUGUCUCGACCAGGAGCUCGGCGAAAUUGCAGUACGAGUAAAGAUGCUCGUUAAGCGCAGAAGGACGAAAAGACCCCGGGACCUUUACUAUACCUUGGUAUUGGCAUUCGGUGUGGAUUGUGUAGCAUAGGCGGGAGGCCGAGAGGCGCGGUCGCCAGAUCGCGCGGAGCCGUAAGGUGAAAUACCGCUCUGUUCGCAUUGGAUGUCUAACCUCGAACAGUCAUCCUGUUCAGGGACAGUGC
RNAcentral lists this ribosomal RNA (1286 nucleotides) under human gut metagenome. RNAcentral describes it as "bacterial LSU rRNA". It matches the Rfam family "Bacterial large subunit ribosomal RNA", at positions 1084 to 2257 of the family's 2925-position model. The record is from RNAcentral.